Molecule: ribosomal RNA, 482 nt
Filed under: uncultured bacterium
Lineage: Bacteria
Description: partial 16S ribosomal RNA
Rfam family: Bacterial small subunit ribosomal RNA
Source: RNAcentral
GACGAACGCUGGCGGCGUGCUUAACACAUGCAAGUCGAACGCUGAAGCUCAGCUUGCUGGGUGGAUGAGUGGCGAACGGGUGAGUAACACGUGAGUAACCUGCCCUCUUCUUUGGGAUAACGCCCGGAAACGGGUGCUAAUACUGGAUAUUCACUGAUGCUCGCAUGGGGGUUGGUGGAAAGGUUUUUUCUGGUGGGGGAUGGGCUCGCGGCCUAUCAGCUUGUUGGUGGGGUGAUGGCCUACCAAGGCUUUGACGGGUAGCCGGCCUGAGAGGGUGACCGGUCACAUUGGGACUGAGAUACGGCCCAGACUCCUACGGGAGGCAGCAGUGGGGAAUAGUGCACAAUGGGCGAAAGCCUGAUGCAGCGACGCCGCGUGAGGGAUGGAGGCCUUCGGGUUGUAAACCUCUUUCGCUCAUGGUCAAGCCGCAGCUUUGGGUUGUGGUGAGGGUAGUGGGUAAAGAAGCGCCGGCUAACUACGUG